AUUUAGAUAGUUUAUACUAACAAAACAUUAUCCUGUGGAGAUAAUAAAAUAAUUUUUAUUCUAGAUC
Molecule: transfer RNA, 67 nt
Filed under: Euborellia arcanum
Lineage: Eukaryota; Metazoa; Arthropoda; Insecta; Dermaptera; Anisolabididae
Description: tRNA-His
Source: RNAcentral